This is a long non-coding RNA of Mya arenaria, 343 nucleotides long. RefSeq lists it as uncharacterized. Lineage: Eukaryota; Metazoa; Mollusca; Bivalvia; Myida; Myidae. The record is from RefSeq and is a predicted model, not a curated record. The transcript is spliced from 3 exons.
GAUCGAUUUCGGACACGAAGAUUGAGAAGUGCCUGGAUACAAGGCUAGUAUUGUUAACAUCAUCUGAUACAAUCAACUGGAACAAAGCUGAAAUGGCUGCCUGACCUGACUUAAAAAUUGGAUGGCAGUACAUCAGACUAGAAGAUUACAAGUAUUGAGGUGGACAAAAUGAAACCUGAGCCUACCAAAGCUGACAGAUUGCACAAGAAACACAUAAAUGCAGAUUGGAAGAUUCAUUCUCUGGAAAGUAGAAAAGGGCAUGUUACAUACUGUUAUCACUGCCAUGACAGAAACCAUAUUGAGGAGCUGGUCCACCUGUAGGAAGAAUUGCGCUAUUGGUUGG